RNAcentral lists this ribosomal RNA (428 nucleotides) under Myxogastria sp. PS04. Its description in RNAcentral is "SSU rRNA". It matches the Rfam family "Eukaryotic small subunit ribosomal RNA", at positions 1230 to 1644 of the family's 1831-position model. The record is from RNAcentral. Lineage: Eukaryota; Evosea; Eumycetozoa.
ACACGUAUGAAAGACAAGCUGAAAGACUUUUCUCAAUGAUGUAAGUGGUGGUGCAUGGUCGUUCUUAGUUCGUGGAUUGAUUUGUCUGGUCUAUUCCGAUAACGAGCGAGACCCCUACGUUCCUAAUAGGGGCGGCAGCCCGGCUUUCCCCCUCACGGGGGUCUGCUAGCAGCCGCCUAAUUAGCUUCUUAGACGUAUCAGAGCCGAUAAGGUUCUUGAAAUGGGUUAAUAACAGGUCAGUCAUGCCCUUAGAUGUUCUGGGCCGCACGCGCGUUACAAUGGUAUACAUUAGAACGUGCUCUUCGGGCUUUUCCGCGGCCUACUGGCCGCGGUAAUCCCUAGUCUCUCCCUUGACUGGGCCAGACUAUUGCAAUUAUUGGUCUCCAACGAGGAAUUUUUAGUAGUCGCAGGUCAUUAACCUGCGACGA